CUGGCUCAGGACGAACGCUGGCGGCAUGCCUAACACAUGCAAGUCGAACGGGGGUAGCAAUACCCUAGUGGCGAACGGGUGAGUAACACAUAAGCAAUCUGCCCUUCACAGGGGGAUAACAGCGGGAAACUGCUGCUAAUACCGCAUAAGACCACAGUACCGCAUGGUACAGGGGUAAAAACGAAUCAGUGGUGAAGGAUGAGCUUAUGUCCCAUUAGCUAGUUGGUGAGAUAACAGCCCACCAAGGCGACGAUGGGUAGCCGACCUGGGAGGGUGAUCGGCCACACUGGAACUGAGACACGGUCCAGACUCCUACGGGAGGCAGCAGUGGGGAAUAUUGGGCAAUGGAAGGAAACUCUUACCCAGCAAUGCCGCGUGAGUGAAGGAGGUCUUCGGAUUGUAAAGCUCUUUGAUUGGGGACGAAGAAAGUGACGGUACCCAAAGAACAAGCCCCGGCUAACUACGUGCCAGCCGCCGC
This 478-nucleotide ribosomal RNA is filed under the name uncultured bacterium. Its description in RNAcentral is "bacterial SSU rRNA". It matches the Rfam family "Bacterial small subunit ribosomal RNA", at positions 19 to 518 of the family's 1533-position model. The record is from RNAcentral.